AUUGAACGCUAGCGGCAUGCCUUACACAUGCAAGUCGAACGGCAGCGAGGAGUUUGGUCCGGUGGCGAGUGGCGAACGGGUGAGUAAUGUAUCGGAAUGUGCCUAGUAGCGGGGGAUAACUACGCGAAAGGAUAGCUAAUACCGCAUACGUCCUACGGGGGAAAGCAGGGGAUCUCAAGGCCUUGCACUAUCAGAUCAGCCUAGAUCGGAUUAGCUAGUUGGUGGGGUAACGGCUCACCAAGGCGACGAUCCGUAGCUGGUUUGAGAGGACGAUCAGCCACACUGGGACUGAGACACGGUCCAGACUCCUACGGGAGGCAGCAGUGGGGAAUUUUGGACAAUGGGGGAAACCCUGAUCCAGCCAUCCCGCGUGUGCGAAGAAGGCCUUCGGGUUGUAAACACUUUU
Molecule: ribosomal RNA, 406 nt
Filed under: Alcaligenaceae bacterium ITSI67
Lineage: Bacteria; Pseudomonadati; Pseudomonadota; Betaproteobacteria; Burkholderiales; Alcaligenaceae
Description: bacterial SSU rRNA
Rfam family: Bacterial small subunit ribosomal RNA
Source: RNAcentral